RNAcentral lists this ribosomal RNA (437 nucleotides) under uncultured Oscillospiraceae bacterium. RNAcentral's name for it is "partial 16S ribosomal RNA". It matches the Rfam family "Bacterial small subunit ribosomal RNA", at positions 341 to 792 of the family's 1533-position model. The record is from RNAcentral. Lineage: Bacteria; Bacillati; Bacillota; Clostridia; Eubacteriales; Oscillospiraceae.
ACGGAAGGCAGCAGUGGGGAAUAUUGGGCAAUGGGCGCAAGCCUGACCCAGCGACGCCGCGUGAAGGAAGAAGGUCUUCGGAUUGUAAACUUCUUUUUUGUGGGACGAAGAAAAUGACGGUACCACAUGAAUAAGCCACGGCUAACUACGUGCCAGCAGCCGCGGUAAUACGUAGGUGGCGAGCGUUAUCCGGAUUUACUGGGUGUAAAGGGUGAGUAGGCGGGAUUGCAAGUCAGAUGUGAAAAUCAUGGGCUCAACUCAUGACCUGCAUUUAAAACUGUAAUUCUUGAGUAUCGGAGAGGCAAGCGGAAUUCCUAGUGUAGCGGUGAAAUGCGUAGAUAUUAGGAGGAACACCAGUGGCGAAGGCGGCUUGCUGGACGACAACUGACGCUGAGGCGCGAAAGCGUGGGGAGCAAACAGGAUUAGAUACCCUGGUA